This 80-nucleotide ribosomal RNA is filed under the name Microbispora cellulosiformans. The record is from RNAcentral. Lineage: Bacteria; Bacillati; Actinomycetota; Actinomycetes; Streptosporangiales; Streptosporangiaceae.
UUCCGAACCCGGAAGUUAAGCCCGCCAGCGCCGAUGGUACUGCACCGGGGACGGUGUGGGAGAGUAGGACGCCGCCGGAC